AUGCUCUAAGUCCAGGCUGAAUGGCACCAUCAAAAUCAUUGGAGGAAUAAUGCAAGAUCUGAGAGAGGAGUUAUGGUCAUUAAUGCAAAAGAGUGAUGAAUUAUGGUUUUACGUAAUGUGAAGGGAAGAAGAACCUCUGCCUCUUACUUCUGGUGGGACAAUUAGUGACAACGGAUCAUAUAUUUAGUUAUCUACCAAUCAUAUCACAUAUUGCAUUGACUUGGGAAUGAGUUUUCUGAGAGUUGCAAGUUGUGCAUUGAUUCUGUCCCUGCGCCUUUUCUCUGCUUGGCUGUGACUCUUUGAAGCACUUGCAGCUCUAUCUUCUGUAAUGGUUGCAGGCCACAAAGGGAACUCACUAAACUGAAGAGAUGGAGGGUCAGAAGCAAGAGAGGGUGUUUAAGUUGUUGGAACAGAAAAAAGGAGAUAAUUGAUCACUGUUUGGUGCAGAGUUGCAUUCAGCCAUGUUGGUGGCAAGAGGCUACCCAGAAUAGUGGUAACUUUCCAUAUGCAUAAUCAGAGACCAUUCUAAUGCCUGUGCCUGGUUUUGUGAGCCUUUUAUUUCCCAUUCAUUGACAUUGUUUGCUUAAUGGGCGAUCUUGUUCUUAUCUUUAUGGUGAUUGGUGUGAUAUGCAAUGACCUUUAAUGGGAUCAGACGAAAAUGGUUUUUGGCCGUAGGCGCCUGUCACUUCACCAAGAAAAUUUUCUCUCUGAUAAAUCUCACUACACUUUGUGAAGAAUCUCAAGUUUGAGAAGAUUAAAAAGGAUGAGCGAAACACGGCUGAGAGCUGAUGUAAUUCUUGGUUGAGCUAUAAGUUUCAUAUUCGAUAUAAAUUGAG
RNAcentral lists this small RNA (836 nucleotides) under Vigna angularis var. angularis. RNAcentral describes it as "Non-protein coding transcript". Lineage: Eukaryota; Viridiplantae; Streptophyta; Magnoliopsida; Fabales; Fabaceae. The record is from RNAcentral.